This 301-nucleotide ribosomal RNA is filed under the name uncultured bacterium. RNAcentral's name for it is "partial 16S ribosomal RNA". It matches the Rfam family "Bacterial small subunit ribosomal RNA", at positions 509 to 809 of the family's 1533-position model. The record is from RNAcentral.
CAGCCGCCGCGGGAAUACAGAGGGUGCGAGCGUUAAUCGGAUUUACUGGGCGUAAAGCGUGCGUAGGCGGCUUCUUAAGUCGGAUGUGAAAUCCCUGAGCUUAACUUAGGAAUUGCAUUCGAUACUGGGAAGCUAGAGUAUGGGAGAGGAUGGUAGAAUUCCAGGUGUAGCGGUGAAAUGCGUAGAGAUCUGGAGGAAUACCGAUGGCGAAGGCAGCCAUCUGGCCUAAUACUGACGCUGAGGUACGAAAGCAUGGGGAGCAAAUAGGAUUAGAUACCCGUGUAGUCCCUGUCUCUUAUAA